RNAcentral lists this small nucleolar RNA (119 nucleotides) under Echinops telfairi (small Madagascar hedgehog). RNAcentral describes it as "Small nucleolar RNA SNORA61 (ENSETEG00000024697.1)". Lineage: Eukaryota; Metazoa; Chordata; Mammalia; Afrosoricida; Tenrecidae. The record is from RNAcentral.
ACGCUACAAAUUCCUUACCUUUCAGAUCUGAACACUGGUCUCAGUAGCUACAAAAGGAGAAAAAGUAAAAUUGAAAUUGACUUAAAUUAUUGGUAACAAAUGAGCUAAUUCAAACAAAC